RNAcentral lists this ribosomal RNA (1503 nucleotides) under uncultured bacterium. Its description in RNAcentral is "16S ribosomal RNA". It matches the Rfam family "Bacterial small subunit ribosomal RNA". The record is from RNAcentral.
UAGAGUUUGAUCAUGGCUCAGGAUGAACGCUAGCGACAGGCCUAACACAUGCAAGUCGAGGGGCAUCGGGGCGAGGAGCAAUCCUUGCCGCCGGCGACCGGCGCACGGGUGAGUAACGCGUAUGCGACCUGCCCGUUGCAGGGGGAUAAUCGGGAGAAAUCCCGUCUAAUACCGCGUAAUGCCGCGGGGCUGCAUGGCCCUGCGGCCAAAGGGAGCGAUUCCGGCAACGGAUGGGCAUGCGUGACAUUAGCUAGUUGGCGGGGCAACGGCCCACCAAGGCGACGAUGUCUAGGGGUUCUGAGAGGAAGGUCCCCCACACUGGUACUGAGACACGGACCAGACUCCUACGGGAGGCAGCAGUGAGGAAUAUUGGUCAAUGGGCGCGAGCCUGAACCAGCCAAGUCGCGUGAGGGAUGACGGCCCUACGGGUUGUAAACCUCUUUUGUCGGGGAGCAAAUUCCGCCACGUGUGGCGGAGUCGAGAGUACCCGAAGAAAAAGCAUCGGCUAACUCCGUGCCAGCAGCCGCGGUAAUACGGAGGAUGCGAGCGUUAUCCGGAUUUAUUGGGUUUAAAGGGUGCGUAGGCGGACUGUCAAGUCAGCGGUAAAAUACGGGGGCUCAACCUCCGCCCGCCGUUGAAACUGACGGUCUUGAGUGGGCGAGAAGUAUGCGGAAUGCGUGGUGUAGCGGUGAAAUGCAUAGAUAUCACGCAGAACUCCGAUUGCGAAGGCAGCAUACCGGCGCCCAACUGACGCUGAAGCACGAAAGCGUGGGUAUCGAACAGGAUUAGAUACCCUGGUAGUCCACGCAGUAAACGAUGAAUACUAGCUGUCCGGGGCGAAUGAGCCCUGGGUGGCACAGCGAAAGCGUUAAGUAUUCCACCUGGGGAGUACGCCGGCAACGGUGAAACUCAAAGGAAUUGACGGGGGCCCGCACAAGCGGAGGAACAUGUGGUUUAAUUCGAUGAUACGCGAGGAACCUUACCCGGGCUCAAACGACACAGGAACGUACCUGAAAGGGUUCGGCUCUACGGAGCCUGUGUCGAGGUGCUGCAUGGUUGUCGUCAGCUCGUGCCGUGAGGUGUCGGCUUAAGUGCCAUAACGAGCGCAACCCCCAUCGACAGUUGCUAACAGGUCAGGCUGAGGACUCUGUCGAGACUGCCGGCGCAAGCUGCGAGGAAGGCGGGGAUGACGUCAAAUCAGCACGGCCCUUACGUCCGGGGCGACACACGUGUUACAAUGGCAGGUACAGCGGGAAGCCACCUGGCGACAGGGAGCGGAACCCGAAAGCCUGUCUCAGUUCGGAUUGGAGUCUGCAACCCGACUCCAUGAAGCUGGAUUCGCUAGUAAUCGCGCAUCAGCCACGGCGCGGUGAAUACGUUCCCGGGCCUUGUACACACCGCCCGUCAAGCCAUGGAAGCCGGGAGUGCCUGAAGUGUGCAACCGCAAGGAGCGCCCUAAGGUAAAACUGGUGACUGGGGCUAAGUCGUAACAAGGUAGCCGUA